Eptesicus fuscus (big brown bat) is the source of this 460-nucleotide long non-coding RNA. RefSeq lists it as uncharacterized. Lineage: Eukaryota; Metazoa; Chordata; Mammalia; Chiroptera; Vespertilionidae. The record is from RefSeq and is a predicted model, not a curated record. The transcript is spliced from 3 exons.
UCUACGUCCUGGCUUCACCGGCUUCCGGGAUGGCGCGCUGCCACGGGCGGGGAGCGGGUGCCGGUGCGGCCCUCCCCUGCGGGCGCUCCUGGCCGUGCCGAGUCCUCGGAGGAGCGAGGAGGCUGGGACCCAGGAGCGGCUGAGGGAAGCGCGGCAGCGCCCACCGGUCCUUCCUUCCAGCGUUUCGUGAGCGCCUGUUGGGGCCCAGGCGCGGUCCCGAAAACGCACAGCCGAAAGGGCGCUGUUCCUGCUCUAGGAGGAGGGGAGCCUUUUUCCUGGUUUUGCUGGGCAGUGAGUGAUCCAGAACAGGGGUGAAGGAUGGUUCCUUUGUCAUCUUUAGCCCUAGAACAAUUACACUUGUGAGUUUUGCAUCUAUGAGAAGGUCUCAUAUAGUGAAUCAUCCAGGAUUUAAUUUCUCUGGGAAGGAAAAAAGCUCACAGUCCCAUACAGAAAAUUCUUU